UGGGGUUUCUUUAAAUACGGAUGGGGAAAAAAACGCAUCGACGGCAUCAAUACCUUUGUUAGAGAAGCUGAAUAAAUCUUCGCUUCUUCUCCAUUCCAGAGCCCUGAAAGUGCUGUUAAAUUAAAUUACACGCAGCCGGGUGUUUAUAUUUAGGGUCCAUGGAUGCCAACCGUAACAACAACAACAAAGGAAAGAAAGCCAACAACAACAGCAGCAAUAAUCCCAACAUGGAGAGUGAGAGUAAAUAUCUGCCGGAGCUGCUGGCGGAGAAGGACAGCCUGGACGCGUCGUUCACUCACGCCAUGAAACUGCUCACUGCAGAGAUCGAAAGGAUUCAGAAAGGCGAGCCGAAAAAAGACGGCGAGACGUACCUGGACCUGUUCACUGCCAAAAACGUGCGAGUGAAAGAACGAGUGCUUAUUCCUGUCAAACAGUACCCUCGGUUCAACUUUGUGGGGAAGAUUCUCGGACCCCAGGGCAGCACCAUCAAAAGACUGCAGGAGGAAACCGGAGCAAAGAUUUCAGUCCUGGGCAAGGGCUCGAUGAGAGACAAGAACAAGGAGGAAGAACUGCGGAAGGGAGGGGAGCCUAAGUACGCUCACCUGUCCAUGGAGCUGCACGUGUACAUUGAAGUGUUUGCGCCGAUCCCUGAAUGCUACCUGCGUAUGGCUCACGCUAUGGAUGAGGUUAAGAAGUUCCUCAUGCCUGUGGACAACAUGGACGAGAUGCACCAGGAUCCCUUCAUGGACGUCGGGUAUCUGAACGGUGCUCAGGAUGCUCCCACUCGGGGCCGUGGAGGGCCUGGCCGGGGCCGCGGAGGCCCACCACUUCCCAUGCCUGGAGCUAGGGGUCGUGGCAUGCUCCCACGUGGCGGUGCCCCUCGUGGCGGUGCCCCCAGAGGAGGCCCAGGAAGAGGUGGAGCAGCUAGAGGAGCACCCGUGGGCCGGGGCGGACAUCCUUCUGCCUCCACUAACCGCGGAGGAGCUGCAGGACGGUCCCGACCCCCCACUGCCUCGCAGAGGAUGGCACCUGCACCCGCGCUCUCUCAUCAGCAGCAUCAAGCACCAGAAUCGUACGAGGAAUACUCGUAUGACGAGACCUACGCUGAAACUCCAUACGAAGGUUACGAUAACUAUUACAACCAGUCAGCACCACAGGGAGAAACUGAGUAUUAUGACUACGGCCAUGGUGAGUCUCAGGAGAACUACGAAUCAUAUGCUGAGGACGACUGGGAAGGUGCUGCGUGGGGUAGUGGCGGAGGGAAAGCUCCUUCUGCCCGCCAGAAUAAAGGAAACUAUCGCGAACACCCGUACGGAAGAUUCUGAGACGUAUCGCUCAGUCGGGUUGCCUGGGCAACCGCCUCCAAUUGUAACUCCUUUUAACAGCUCAAAAAGCUGAUCUGAUCUGCUGACUGGUAUCUGACUGGAUGAAACCAGUGGCCACUAAAAGAUCCUAAAGUGUGCCCCAAGAUCCUCUCAAGCUGCCAUAAAUCCUCUUUUUGUCUUCAGAACAUUCCACAAAAAGCCAUUUGUUCGGCUUUGGCAGCGGCAGCUGUGUCCCCCGCAAGACCCAAACGGAAUAUCUUCCUGCCGCGAUGUUUGCUUUUCCACCUGUUAGCAAGAGUGGAAAGGCCAGAGAUAUAUAUUUUUAAAGCUUUUAUUUGGUUAAAUGUUGAAUUAUUUUUUAAGGGGUGGGGUACUUGGUAUAAAAUUUUAUUAAAUGAUUCAUGAAUACAGCUGUAUUUUAUAAAUACAUUAUAAAGAUUUUUAUGGUGUUUUGUACAGUUAGACAGUAAAUAUUUUCUAUAGUGUAAAAUGUUCUCACAUGAACUUUGUAUGUCAAGUAGUAAAUAAAUUAUUACAGGAAAACAA
RNA transcript from Pangasianodon hypophthalmus (striped catfish), 1871 nucleotides. It is a transcript of the gene named KH domain containing, RNA binding, signal transduction associated 1a, with no coding region annotated. The record is from RefSeq and is a predicted model, not a curated record. The transcript is spliced from 11 exons. Lineage: Eukaryota; Metazoa; Chordata; Actinopteri; Siluriformes; Pangasiidae.